This 71-nucleotide transfer RNA is filed under the name Stegodyphus mimosarum. It matches the Rfam family "tRNA". From Rfam's summary of the family: Transfer RNA (tRNA) molecules are approximately 80 nucleotides in length. Their secondary structure includes four short double-helical elements and three loops (D, anti-codon, and T loops). Lineage: Eukaryota; Metazoa; Arthropoda; Arachnida; Araneae; Eresidae. The record is from Rfam by way of RNAcentral.
GCCUUCGUGGUGUAACGGUAACAAACUCGGCGUGUAUUUGAGAGGUCCAGGUUCGAAUCCCGGCGAGAGCG